ACGAGCCACAGCAGCGCGCGGGCCGGCAGCGGCGAUCCAGGAUGGUCGGUCAUGGCACGGCCGAAUCAGGCUGCGUCGGCCAGAGACGCGGCGGUCCGUGGGAGGCGCUGUUCGAGGU
This 118-nucleotide unclassified non-coding RNA is filed under the name plant metagenome. Its description in RNAcentral is "partial contains 5.8S ribosomal RNA, internal transcribed spacer 2, and large subunit ribosomal RNA". The record is from RNAcentral.